UACGUAGGGUGCGAGCGUUAAUCGGAAUUACUGGGCGUAAAGGGUGCGUAGGUGGCGCUGUAAGUCGGGUGUGAAAUUUCGGAGCUUAACUCCGAAACUGCAUUCGAUACUGCGGUGCUUGAGGACUGGAGAGGAGACUGGAAUUCAUGGUGUAGCAGUGAAAUGCGUAGAGAUCAUGAGGAAGACCAGUGGCGAAGGCGGGUCUCUGGACAGACACUGACACUGAGGCACGAAGGCGUGGGGAGCAAACGGG
RNAcentral lists this ribosomal RNA (253 nucleotides) under uncultured bacterium. RNAcentral describes it as "partial 16S ribosomal RNA". It matches the Rfam family "Bacterial small subunit ribosomal RNA", at positions 524 to 776 of the family's 1533-position model. The record is from RNAcentral.